RNAcentral lists this ribosomal RNA (716 nucleotides) under uncultured Eubacteriales bacterium. Its description in RNAcentral is "bacterial SSU rRNA". It matches the Rfam family "Bacterial small subunit ribosomal RNA", at positions 61 to 780 of the family's 1533-position model. The record is from RNAcentral. Lineage: Bacteria; Bacillati; Bacillota; Clostridia; Eubacteriales.
GUCGAACGAUGAAACUUAGUAGACUUCUUCGGAAAGACACUAAGCGGAUUAGUGGCGAACGGGUGAGUAACGCGUGAGUAACCUGCCUUACACAAGGGGAUAGCCUUUGGAAACGAAGAAUAAUACCCUAUAAAACCAUAAAAGCACAUGCUAGAAUGGUCAAAGUGAUAGCGGUGUAAGAUGGACUUGCGUCUGAUUAGCUAGUUGGUGAGAUAAAAGCUCACCAAGGCAACGAUCAGUAGCCGGCUUGAGAGAGUGUACGGCCACAUUGGGACUGAGACACGGCCCAGACUCCUACGGGAGGCAGCAGUGGGGAAUUUUGCACAAUGGGGGAAACCCUGAUGCAGCGACGCCGCGUGAUUUAGAAGACCUUCGGGUUGUAAAAAUCUUUUGUAUAGGAAGAAAAUGACAGUACUAUACGAAUAAGGUCCGGCUAAUUACGUGCCAGCAGCCGCGGUAAUACGUAAGGACCGAGCGUUGUCCGGAAUCAUUGGGCGUAAAGGGUACGUAGGCGGCUAGAAAAGUUAGAAGUCAAAGGCUAUAGCUCAACUAUAGUAAGCUUCUAAAACUAUUUAGCUUGAGAAAUGGAAGGGAAAGUGGAAUUCCUAGUGUAGCGGUGGAAUGCGCAGAUAUUAGGAAGAAUACCGGUGGCGAAGGCGACUUUCUGGCCAUUAUCUGACGCUGAGGUACGAAAGCGUGGGUAGCAAACAGGAUUA